UACGGGGGGGGCAAGCGUUGUUCGGAAUUACUGGGCGUAAAGGGCUCGUAGGUGGCCAACUAAGUCAUACGUGAAAUCCCUCGGCUUAACCGGGGAACUGCGUCUGAUACUGGAUGGCUUGAGGUUGGGAGAGGGAUGCGGAAUUCCAGGUGUAGCGGUGAAAUGCGUAGAUAUCUGGAGGAACACCGGUGGCGAAGGCGGCAUUCUGGACCGACAUUGACGCUGAGGAGCGAAAGCCAGGGGAGCAAAUGGG
This 253-nucleotide ribosomal RNA is filed under the name uncultured bacterium. RNAcentral describes it as "partial 16S ribosomal RNA". It matches the Rfam family "Bacterial small subunit ribosomal RNA", at positions 524 to 776 of the family's 1533-position model. The record is from RNAcentral.